CUGCCCAAUGAGGAAUUAAAUGGCCGCGGUACUUUGACCGUGCAAAGGUAGCAUAAUCAUUAGUUUUUUAAUUGAAAGCUGGUAUGAAAGGUCGGAUGAGAGAAUAACUGUCUCUAUUUAAAUUAUUUAGAAUUUUAUUUUUAAGUAAGAAAGCUUAAAUUUUAAUAGAAGACGAGAAGACCCUAUAGAGUUUUAUAAAUUUUAAUUUGAAGAGAUUUUAGAAUUAAUAAAUUUUUAUAUUAAGAUUUAUUUGGUUGGGGCGACUGAAAAAUUUAAUAAACUUUUUUUAAUUAUUUAAACAUUAAUUUAUGAUUAGAUGAUCCUUAUUUAAAGAUUAAAAGAAAAAAUUACCUUAGGGAUAACAGCGUAAUUUUUUUAAAGAGUUCAAAUCGAAAAAAAAGAUUGCGACCUCGAUGUUGGAUUAAAAUAAAAUUUUGGUGUAGGAGCUAAAGUAUUUGGGUCUGUUCGACCCUUAAAAUUUUACAUGAUCUGAGUUUAAACCGGUGU
RNAcentral lists this ribosomal RNA (507 nucleotides) under Eupholus sp. 3 MVD-2017. RNAcentral describes it as "partial 16S ribosomal RNA". It matches the Rfam family "Bacterial large subunit ribosomal RNA", at positions 1859 to 2622 of the family's 2925-position model. Lineage: Eukaryota; Metazoa; Arthropoda; Insecta; Coleoptera; Curculionidae. The record is from RNAcentral.